This 199-nucleotide ribosomal RNA is filed under the name uncultured bacterium. RNAcentral's name for it is "partial 16S ribosomal RNA". It matches the Rfam family "Bacterial small subunit ribosomal RNA", at positions 335 to 526 of the family's 1533-position model. The record is from RNAcentral.
ACUCCUACGGGAGGCAGCAGUGGGGAAUUUUGGACAAUGGGGGCAACCCUGAUCCAGCCAUGCCGCGUGCGGGAAGAAGGCCUUCGGGUUGUAAACCGCUUUUGUCAGGGAAGAAAUCCUUUGGGCUAAUACCCUGGGGGGAUGACGGUACCUGAAGAAUAAGCACCGGCUAACUACGUGCCAGCAGCCGCGGUAAUAC